Molecule: small nucleolar RNA, 181 nt
Organism: Varanus komodoensis (Komodo dragon)
Lineage: Eukaryota; Metazoa; Chordata; Lepidosauria; Squamata; Varanidae
Source: Ensembl
GCAGUCACGUGUGCAUAGUUUCUUAUCUAUGUCUAGUAGUAUGGUCUAUUUGCGUUUUGCAUUUAGAUUAUAUUGCUCACAUACAACCUGUGGCCAAAGAGAAAAUUGAGAUCAUAGUACUGGUCUAGUGAUGUCGAAAGACAAUCUUACCACUGGCCAGCCUCCAAACUCUCAGACAGAC